RNAcentral lists this ribosomal RNA (432 nucleotides) under uncultured bacterium. RNAcentral describes it as "partial 16S ribosomal RNA". It matches the Rfam family "Bacterial small subunit ribosomal RNA", at positions 29 to 506 of the family's 1533-position model. The record is from RNAcentral.
AACGAACGCUGGCGGCAUGCCUAACACAUGCAAGUCGAACGAGACCUUCGGGUCUAGUGGCGCACGGGUGCGUAACGCGUGGGAACCUGCCCUUAGGUUCGGAAUAACUCCCCGAAAGGGGUGCUAAUACCGGAUAAUGUCUUCGGACCAAAGAUUUAUCGCCUUUGGAUGGGCCCGCGUUGGAUUAGCUAGUUGGUAGGGUAAAAGCCUACCAAGGCGACGAUCCAUAGCUGGUCUGAGAGGAUGAUCAGCCACACUGGGACUGAGACACGGCCCAGACUCCUACGGGAGGAAGAAGGGGGGAAAAUGGGAAAAGGGGCGAAAGCCUGAUCAAGCAAUGCCGCGGGAGGGAGGAAGGCCUUAGGUUUGUAAAGCUCUUUUACCCGGAAUGAUAAUGAAAGUACCGGGAGAAUAAGCUCCGGCGAACUCCGU